CGUGAGAUGUUGGGUUAAGUCCCGCAACGAGCGCAACCCUUGCCAUUAGUUGCCAGCAUUAAGUUGGGCACUCUAAUGGGACCGCUUGCCGAUAAGGCAGAGGAAGGUGGGGAUGACGUCAAGUCCGCAUGGCCCUUACGCCCAGGGCUACACACGUACUACAAUGGCGGUACAGAGCGAUGCUAAGCCGCGAGGUAGAGCUAAUCGCACAAAGCCGGUCCCAGUUCGGAUAGGAGUCUGCAACUCGACUCCU
This 253-nucleotide ribosomal RNA is filed under the name uncultured bacterium. RNAcentral's name for it is "partial 16S ribosomal RNA". It matches the Rfam family "Bacterial small subunit ribosomal RNA", at positions 1066 to 1320 of the family's 1533-position model. The record is from RNAcentral.